UGGGGAAUUUUGGACAAUGGGCGAAAGCCUGAUCCAGCAAUGCCGCGUGUGUGAAGAAGGCCUUCGGGUUGUAAAGCACUUUUGUCCGGAAAGAAAUCCUUGGCUCUAAUACAGUCGGGGGAUGACGGUACCGGAAGAAUAAGCACCGGCUAACUACGUGCCAGCAGCCGCGGUAAUACGUAGGGUGCAAGCGUUAAUCGGAAUUACUGGGCGUAAAGCGUGCGCAGGCGGUUUGCUAAGACCGAUGUGAAAUCCCCGGGCUCAACCUGGGAACUGCAUUGGUGACUGGCAGGCUAGAGUAUGGCAGAGGGGGGUAGAAUUCCACGUGUAGCAGUGAAAUGCGUAGAGAUGUGGAGGAAUACCGAUGGCGAAGGCAGCCCCCUGGGCCAAUACUGACGCUCAUGCAUGAAAGCGUGGGGAGCAAAACAGGAUUAGAUACCCUGGUAGUCCACGCCCUAAAACGAUGUCAACUAGUUGUUGGGGAUUCAUUUCCUUAGUAACGUACUAACGCGUGAAGUUGACCGCCUGGGGAGUACGGUCGCAAGAUUAAAACUCAAAUGAAUUGACGGGGUCAUAGCUGUUUCC
This 585-nucleotide ribosomal RNA is filed under the name uncultured bacterium. Its description in RNAcentral is "partial 16S ribosomal RNA". It matches the Rfam family "Bacterial small subunit ribosomal RNA", at positions 355 to 937 of the family's 1533-position model. The record is from RNAcentral.